This 467-nucleotide ribosomal RNA is filed under the name uncultured Pseudomonadota bacterium. RNAcentral's name for it is "bacterial SSU rRNA". It matches the Rfam family "Bacterial small subunit ribosomal RNA", at positions 65 to 509 of the family's 1533-position model. The record is from RNAcentral. Lineage: Bacteria; Pseudomonadati; Pseudomonadota.
AGCGGUAACAGACAUUUUGAUUUUGCUUGCAAAAUCUCGUGCUGACGAGCGGCGAACGGGUGAGUAACGCGUAGGAAUCUACCUAGUAGAAGGGGAUAGCCCGAGGAAACUCGGAUUAAUACCGUAUACGUCCUUAGGGAGAAAGAGGGCUUAGCUUUGAUGCUCUCGCUAUUAGAUGAGCCUGCGUAAGAUUAGCUUGUUGGUGAGGUAAAGGCUCACCAAGGCGACGAUCUUUAGCUGGUCUGAGAGGACGAUCAGCCACAUUGGGACUGAGACACGGCCCAGACUCCUACGGGAGGCAGCAGUGGGGAAUAUUGGACAAUGGGCGCAAGCCUGAUCCAGCCAUACCGCGUGUGUGAAGAAGGCCUUCGGGUUGUAAAGCACUUUAAGUAAGGAAGAAAAGAGUAUUGUUAAUACCAUUACUCCGUGACAUUACUUACAGAAUAAGGACCGGCUAAUUCCGUGCC